GAAUUUUGGCCAAUGGGCGAAAGCCUGAUCUAGCCAUGCCGCGUGAUCGAUGAAGGCCUUAGGGUUGUAAAGAUCUUUCAGCUGGGAAGAUAAUGACCGUACCAGCAGAAGAAGCCCCGGCUAACCCCGUCCCCGCCGCCGCGGUAAUACGGAGGGGGCUAGCGUUAUUCGGUUUUACUGGGCGUCAAGCGCACGUAGGCGGAUCAGAAAGUUAGGGGUGAAAUCCCGGGGCUCAACCUCGGAACUGCCUCUAAAACUCCUGGUCUUGAGGUCGAGAGAGGUGAGUGGAAUUCCGAGUGUAGAGGUGAAAUUCGUAGAUAUUCGGAGGAACACCAGUGGCGAAGGCGGCUCACUGGCUCGAUACUGACGCUGAGGUGCGAAAGCGUGGGGAGCAAACA
Molecule: ribosomal RNA, 398 nt
Filed under: uncultured bacterium
Lineage: Bacteria
Description: partial 16S ribosomal RNA
Rfam family: Bacterial small subunit ribosomal RNA
Source: RNAcentral